CGACGCGCACAGAUGGGACCUCCUUUGGACGUUUUUAUUGCUUAUUCUGAUAGGAAACGUUUAAUAGCCGAAUUAAAAUGAAAAUUUUUUAUUUGAGUUAUUUAUAAUGGUACAGUCCGCUUGCAAUUUGUCUAUUUCACAUGUACAAUACAAAAUUUGUGUCUUCACGUAUUAUAAUUUUGACAUAGUAGUAGUUUUAAAAAAUAUCUUUCUAAAAAGAUGCAAAAAAGUCAACAUUUUCGAAAUUAAAAUGGUCAUAACUUGAACAAUGUUUAUAGUAGAAAAAUAAAAAUGUUACCUGCCGAUACCACUGAAAAUUACCAAUGCGCUGGUUUUAAAAACCGCGCGCACUUUCACGUGCGCGCGUGUGAAAAUAUAAAUUGAAAAUGUUUGCGGAGGAUGUCGAUCCAAGCCAGCAGCGUCAGUUCUUUGUACAGUCAAAGUUGACGCGAAACACUUUUUUGAUCUUUCCGUACGUUUAAAAUAAUUAUUAUUUAGCUAAAAUCUCCAUUACUUCUAUGUUCCAUUUAAUCUAUUACUUUCUCUUUGUCAUUUUAACUUGAUUCAUUUAUCAUAUUUCGAAAACUCUUGCUUAUGAUGAAAAUGUAGCCGAUAACAACCGUGCAACUUUCCGGAAUUUGACGUCGCAGACACAGUACAGGUCACAGACUUCGAACAAUGUUUAGAAUUCUACAAAAUAAGAAAUCUUUCUGAAGCAGUCCUAUGUGGAUGAAAAGAAUUAGGAAGCUUCUAGUAUCGAAAAUUGCCCUCAUCUACCGCUACAAGUGGAAACCAUUGGAAACCGUAAUCAGACCCGAUACUGCAACAUGUAAAAUGAAUCUCCUGUUUGCUCUGGAUUCAAAUGAAAGUGAUAAUUUUGAAUAAAGGGUUUACUACUCACUGACC
Molecule: long non-coding RNA, 906 nt
Organism: Bolinopsis microptera
Lineage: Eukaryota; Metazoa; Ctenophora; Tentaculata; Lobata; Bolinopsidae
Exons: 3
Source: RefSeq, a predicted model, not a curated record